RNAcentral lists this ribosomal RNA (451 nucleotides) under uncultured Roseobacter sp. RNAcentral describes it as "bacterial SSU rRNA". It matches the Rfam family "Bacterial small subunit ribosomal RNA", at positions 11 to 507 of the family's 1533-position model. Lineage: Bacteria; Pseudomonadati; Pseudomonadota; Alphaproteobacteria; Rhodobacterales; Roseobacteraceae. The record is from RNAcentral.
GUUUGAUCCUGGCUCAGAACGAACGCUGGCGGCAGGCCUAACACAUGCAAGUCGAGCGAGACCUUCGGGUUUAGCGGCGGACGGGUUAGUAACGCGUGGGGAACGUGCCCUUCUCUAAGGAAUAGCCACUGGAAACGGUGAGUAGUACCUUAUACGCCCUUCGGGGGAAAGAUUUAUCGGAGAAGGAUCGGCCCGCGUUAGAUUAGGUAGUUGGUGGGGUAAUGGCCUACCAAGCCUACGAUCUAUAGCUGGUUUUAGAGGAUGAUCAGCAACACUGGGACUGAGACACGGCCCAGACUCCUACGGGAGGCAGCAGUGGGGAAUCUUGGACAAUGGGCGCAAGCCUGAUCCAGCCAUGCCGCGUGAGUGAUGAAGGCCUUAGGGUCGUAAAGCUCUUUCGCCAGGGAUGAUAAUGACAGUACCUGGUAAAGAAACCCCGGCUAACUCCGCG